UGAAGUUGGCAAGGUCAUCUGCUGAGAGUGGAGAAAGAGAAUAAAGAAGAUGUCAAAGAAUUGUUGCAAAUAAUGGGAGAUUAACUUGACCAAAGAACCCUAGAAGGGUCCAUCGUCACUGUAUUACUUGUUGGGAUAAUGAAACUUACUAAAGCUGUAUCAGGAUUCCAGAUGUGCCAAGAAGACUUUCAGUUGCAUGGACUGACGGCCUUGGGAUUCCUUCACCUAUCCACAAUCCUUCGUGGAUCAUUAUGGUGUCAUUGUGAAGACAGGGAGUGAUGGAGCCCAGUUUUGCUUGAAGAAUGUACCUACCUUUACAUCUGAUAUAAAGUAAGUGUUGUUUUAAUUUUCCUGAAUGUCUCACUUCACUUAUUCUCUCAAUAUUUUAAAUAUUU
Molecule: long non-coding RNA, 395 nt
Organism: Manis pentadactyla (Chinese pangolin)
Lineage: Eukaryota; Metazoa; Chordata; Mammalia; Pholidota; Manidae
Exons: 4
Source: RefSeq, a predicted model, not a curated record